AUUGAACGCUGGCGGCAGGCCUAACACAUGCAAGUCGAACGAGUGGCGGACGGGUGAGGAAUGUCUGGGAAACUGCCUGAUGGAGGGGGAUAACCACGGGAAAAGGUAGCUAAUACCGCAUACCAUCAGAUGUGCCCAGAUGGGAUAAGCUAGUUGGUGGGGUAACGGCUCACCAAGGCGACGAUCCCUCGCUAGUCUGAGAGGAUGACAGGCCACACUGCAACUGCGACAAGGUCCAGACUCCUACGGGAGGCAGCAGUGGGAAAUAUUGCACACUGGGCGCAAGCCUGAUGCAGCCAUGCCGCGUGUAUGAAGAAGGCCUUCGGGUUGUAAAGUACUUUCAGCGGGGAGGCGUUACCCGAAGAAGAAGCACCGGCUAACUCCGUGCCAGCAGCCGCGGUAAUUC
RNAcentral lists this ribosomal RNA (406 nucleotides) under uncultured bacterium. Its description in RNAcentral is "partial 16S ribosomal RNA". It matches the Rfam family "Bacterial small subunit ribosomal RNA", at positions 30 to 526 of the family's 1533-position model. The record is from RNAcentral.